AGAUUGAACGCUGGCGGCAGGCCUAACACAUGCAAGUCGAGCGGUAGAGAGGUGCUUGCACCUCUUGAGAGCGGCGGACGGGUGAGUAAUGCCUAGGAAUCUGCCUAGUGGUGGGGGAUAACGUUCGGAAACGGACGCUAAUACCGCAUACGUCCUACGGGAGAAAGGCGGGGGACCUUCGGGCCUCGCGCCAUUAGAUGAGCCUAGGUCGGAUUAGCUAGUUGGUGAGGUAAUGGCUCACCAAGGCGACGAUCCGUAA
This 259-nucleotide ribosomal RNA is filed under the name uncultured soil bacterium. RNAcentral's name for it is "partial 16S ribosomal RNA". It matches the Rfam family "Bacterial small subunit ribosomal RNA", at positions 26 to 286 of the family's 1533-position model. The record is from RNAcentral.